CAAGUAGGUGGGUCCGCGAGCCUCCCUCCCUCAGAGGCAUUGCAUAAGCAGCCGCAGCCCUGACUACAUUCCCAUGGUUACCGGGCUGGGAAAGGCUGGCCGAGAUGGCAUCGCCAUGGCACCGGCAUGGUCCACAGCUCUGCUGGGCGUGGCUCUGGUAUGUGUAGCUCUGGUCUCUUGCUGGACAGAUGGCCUUCACAGAGGGCCCUCCCAGACAUCCAGUGGCCUUGGAUAUCAUGAUGUGAGAUGACUCCUGUCAGCUUGAGAAAACUUGGACUAGUUCUAGAAGACUUGGGUAAGAGGAGGACUUGGCGUCAUAAGGUAGGUGAAUAGAUAAGACCCAGUUGGCUAUGGAGUUUUCCUUUCAGAGGCUCAGAGAGAUAGGGUGAGGAUGAGUAUGUCUUCAUAGGGCCAAGCAAUCGAGGAUGCUUCCCAGGGCUGAUGGGAGGUCUGACACCCAUGCUUCCACAGCUGUGGGAAGGAGCUGCUCUAGUUUCUAACCAAGGCCCUGGAUCUGCAGUCAGGUCUGGAACAGUGGCCAUAGAAUAGGCAAUCAGAAGCAAUGAGCUGUGUCCCCCCCCCCCCCAUUUUUUCUGGAUGAACACUCCAUUUAAUAAGCUCAAGGAAAACAACCCGGAAAUUGGAAAGAUAAAGAAAGGGCCAUUAGUUGUCUGUGCUCUCCACACAUGUGAUGUCUUUGCUGUGAUCACAGGAACUGUCACCUGAGAACAUAUGUUUCUGUCUCCUGAUGCAUCCUCCAGGGAGGGAGGCUGGUUCAAGGGGAACACACCAUGUAGUUACAGGGUGAGCACAAGAGAGAAGAGACAGAGGAUAGACGGUGACAGCAGCAGUCCUGGGGAAAGGUGAUGACAGUCUAGGGAGGAGGGAUGGAUGUUAGGACCCUGUGCAGGUUUAUUUCUCA
Molecule: long non-coding RNA, 922 nt
Filed under: Mus spicilegus (steppe mouse)
Lineage: Eukaryota; Metazoa; Chordata; Mammalia; Rodentia; Muridae
Description: lncRNA (ENSMSIG00000021832.1)
Source: RNAcentral